Molecule: RNA transcript, 1785 nt
Organism: Triticum dicoccoides
Lineage: Eukaryota; Viridiplantae; Streptophyta; Magnoliopsida; Poales; Poaceae
Exons: 9
Source: RefSeq, a predicted model, not a curated record
CACUCGCGUCGAGCCCCUCUCUUCUCUCUACCUCCGAACCCUAGCUAGACCGCGCCCACCUCCCUGCCCCGCUGUUGUUGUCUCCUCCACCCGGCCACCCGCGGUCACUCGCGCCCGUCUCCUCCGGCCAGCCUCCGCCUGCAACCUCCCCCCUCCCGUUUUCAAAAGGGAAGGGAAGGGAAGAGAAGAGGGAGAGCGAGCGGGUCAGGCGACGGCCAUGGCCAUGGCGCUCGCAGAUCCGCCGGCCCCGUCGUUGCCGCUGCGCUCGUAGGUGAGCGGCGCCGGGAGCUGCCGUCGUGAGGAAGCCGCGGGAGGACGAGCUCAACGGCGCCCCAGGCGCUCACUGCCAAGAAGGCAACGGAGGAGGAACUCGACCUGGACGACCGCCGCUGGACGAAGAGCCCCGAAAAAAUCCCCCAACCAUCCCUGCACCACCGCCUCUUCACCUUCGACCACGGGUUGCAGCGGUCAGAGGACCAAAUUGAAGCAUACUUGGCAAAUGGGCCUUGCCGUGAGUCGCGGUGCAACAGUGAUCUCGAUGAGCAGGGCAAUGGUCAGAUACAAGUCAGCACCAAAGAUGACUGGAAGCACUCAAAACAGUUUACCAUGCUAGAGCUAUGUCAGGUUGUACGAGGGCAGUUAAUGAAUAUACUUGUGACACUUAUACUCUCAGCAAUGCCAACAAACAUGGUUUAUGAUGAUAUUGGUGGUCUGAAGCUUUAGAUCGUCGGGGUUGCUCUCAUUCGUUCAAUUUGCCACUGAUCCUUCCAUUCUACUGUUGUUCAUUAUUAUCAUACGAAGGCUGAUCUAUGUUCUCUAUUUGUUGGGUCCUCCGUGUCAUUAUCAACAAGGAACAUGUAUAUCCUUUCAAGUUCACUGAUGUGGUUACCACUACAACACACGUCCCUCCAAGGACCAAGGGUGGGCAUGAUCUUCUACAAGCAGGAUGGGCGAACGGAGACGGUGCACUUCGACAAGAUCACGGUGCAGCUCAAGAAACUCAGCUAUGGGCACUUCGACAAGAGCACUGCGACCCCGUGCUCAUCGCGCAGAAGGUCUGCGUUAGGGUAUACAUGGGUGUCACCACCAGCCAGCUCAACGAGCUCGUCGCCGAGACCGCUGCCACGCUCACCGCCUCCCAGCCUGACUAUGCCUCCCUCGCGGCGAGGAUUAUUGUGUCCAACCUACCGCCAAGUAGAAAUAGUCUGUGUGGCGCUCGUAAAUAAAGAGCAUUCCUGUAGAAAGAAAUAGCAUGUUGAUUUCAUCUUGAAAUAAUCAUAGCUGAGGGAUGAGGUUCGUAAUUGAGGGUCAUGUGCAGAGCUGGAGGAAGAAGUUGCGAAGCUUGGAACUCUCCUUGUGAAGGGCUCAAGGACAGCAGUGAGGACAAUGCCUCUUUAGCUGUAAUUGUGAUACUCCUAAUGUGCGCAAGUAAACAUUCCUGUGAUACUCCUUGUGCUAAAAUGUUGGUUGUUAGUACAGAGGUGGUGACAUUAUUUGGUUCUCUUGGUAGGCAAAUUGGACAAAUUUGAACUGUGGACGAAAUCAAAUUACAGAAUGAACUACCCGUGAAACUAUUUCACGCGGUUAACCUUUUUAUGUGACGCCCGACACGAAGGCGCCACACUACAUUAUGCAACGCCUCAUAGAUAGGCGCUACACGUCUGGCCAGCGUUGCACCCCAAACUGUCUAAAAAUUGUUAAGUCAUUGUGCAGAGCCUACGAGCUAGGCGCUGCACUGUAUAGUGUGGCGCCUAGCUCUCAGGCGCUGCACUAGUGGUUGCACUA